AGGGUGUAAACGCUGCGGGCUUGGUGUUGGGGGUCCUUAGUGGGCGCCCCGUGCCGGAGAGAAGUUGUUAAGCCUGCUGCUUGGGGAGUAUGUCCGCAAGGAUGAAACUUAAAGGAAUUGGCGGGGGAGCACCACAACGGGUGGAGCUUGCGGUUUAAUUGGAUUCAACGCCGGAAAUCUUACCGGGACCGACAGCAACAUGAAGGCCAGGCUGAAGACUUUGCCGGAUUAGCUGAGAGGUGGUGCAUGGCGUAGUCGUGU
This 261-nucleotide ribosomal RNA is filed under the name uncultured archaeon. RNAcentral describes it as "partial 16S ribosomal RNA". It matches the Rfam family "Archaeal small subunit ribosomal RNA", at positions 748 to 1009 of the family's 1478-position model. The record is from RNAcentral.